AAGCAUAUCUGAAUAAUUCUAGUGUUUAUAAGACAUUAAGAGUUAUGACAACUUAACUAUUUACAGGAUAUCAGAUAUGUUUGUAAAAAAAAAUAAUAGCUAGCACAACCUUUAUACGCAAUUUCUAGGGCUGUGUAUCAUCAGAGAAAUAUUAAACCCUCAGGGAAACUGCCAGUUUAGUCACGAUGGCACGGUCGGAGUAUAUAUGACUACCUUAGCAUUUAAAUUAUCGUACUGCAUAUUUAAAAGUUUUAUUCGACUUUGUAUAUUGUAUACCACCAGAGUAGCUAUAAUAAUAAGUUGGCUAGUAACGCUACCGCGGCCAAAAGUUAAAAUUUAAUAUUUAAUUCGACUUAUCUUUAAUGUAAAAAUCGUAAAAACAAAAUCGUCUUGGGACGAUCGAAUAGUGAUUGGCCCAUUUAAGUUUCAGUAAUACGUCAGCGGUGAAAGAGGCCGUCCUUCCAGAAAUGACGUAGUGGACGUUGCAGUCGACAUAUAAAUGCGCACCGAAAUCGCGUGUAAGAUUUAAAACAGAUGCGAUUUCACGCCGAGGUAAGUAGCGACAUUAAGUAUUAAACAUUUUUGAUUCCUGUAGUUAAUCUAAUCCGAUGUACGUUUAAUGGCAGAUGGACAAACUCGUAUUUUGCUGUUUAUUCGUUUGGCUGUCUUUUAAUAUCGGCUGGAGUUCUACGGCGAAAUGGCACGAGGACGCAAAUGAAGGGAAUAAGGUGACUAUCGACAGAUGCCAAAUAGAGGAAAACUACGAGCUGAGAAAAUUGUGUGAUAUAUGUUCUAGAGUGACUGGAAAUUACGAUCUGUAUAACAGAUGCUGCUAUAACAGAAACGAAGAAGAAAACUGGUGCCGACAGUUUAUAAAUUAUAGAUUUCAGCCUCAGUAAGAUUAAGUGGCUUUUUUAAUCACGAAUAUUUCGCUUAUUUAUAUUGUCGAUAUACUAUUGUAACUGUUUCUGUUGUAAUAAACGUGAUUAUCUAUUAAUAUUGGAGUUAUAUGUGGAAAUUAAUCGACCGAAUCACCAGGGAGUUAAUUUAGAAGAAUAUUUCGACUUCGGUCUAUGAAUAAACAGUGUAGCACCGAUAAAACUUUACUUAGUUUCGUUAAUAACUUUGAUAUUUAUAUAAUUCCGAUUACACACAUUUUUUAAUGAUAAAUUCAGUUAAAAUUAUCAAUAUUAAACACCGCCAUACGCUCAAAAACGUAUCCGAAUAAACACUUGUUGCAUAGUAAAAUUUUAUUAUUCUUCAAGGUCGAUAAUUUCGUAGAAGCGCGAUUCUGGGAAACUAUGCGUAAUCGUAUUUAAGCCGUCAAGCGUUUAGUAAGAAUGUUGUUACGCGAAAAGGUAGAGUGUAAUUUUCUUACGAAACGUUGUUUACCUUUUCGUUCGUCGUAUAAAGCGUUCAACAGUACAAAACACGAAAGAGCAAAAAUAUUUACAGUUCUACAGUGAGAUAAGAAAGAAAGCAUUAUUGGAUUUAUUUGAAAAAUUUUUUAUAUUGUUGAAGUUGUAGCAAAACUCAGAUCGAAACUGUUUCUGUUUUCCUUAAGGAUCGAAAAUUUAAAAAAUUUUUUUUUUUUUUUGCAAAUAUGCAUUUUUGGAAUUCUCCGUGAAUUAAAUUCGAAAC
RNAcentral lists this long non-coding RNA (1641 nucleotides) under Androctonus crassicauda. Lineage: Eukaryota; Metazoa; Arthropoda; Arachnida; Scorpiones; Buthidae. The record is from RNAcentral.